Molecule: ribosomal RNA, 492 nt
Filed under: uncultured bacterium
Lineage: Bacteria
Description: partial 16S ribosomal RNA
Rfam family: Bacterial small subunit ribosomal RNA
Source: RNAcentral
AGUGAACGCUGGCGGCAGGCCUAACACAUGCAAGUCGAACGGCAGCACAGUAAGAGCUGGUUCUUACGGGUGGCGAGUGGCGGACGGGGGAGGAAUACACCGGAAUCUACUUUUUCGUGGGGGAUAACGCAGGGAAACUUACGCUAAUACCGCAUACGACCUACGGGUGAAAGCAGGGGAUCUUCUGACCUGUCGCGAUUGAAUGAGCCGAUGUCGGAUUAGCUAGUUGGCGGGGUAGAGGCCCACCCAGGCGACGAUCCGUAGCUGGUCUGAGAGGAUGAUCAGCCACACUGGCACUGAGACACGGUCCAGACUCCUACGGGAGGCAGCGGUGGGGAAUAUUGGACGAUGGGCGCAAGCCUGAUCCAGCCCUACCGCGUGGGUGAAGAAGGCCUUCGGGUUGUAGAGCGCUUUUGUUGGGAGAGAAAAGCAGCAGGUUAAUACCGCGCUGUUCUGACGGUACCGAAAGAAUAAGCACCGGCUAACUUCGUG